RNAcentral lists this ribosomal RNA (499 nucleotides) under uncultured bacterium. RNAcentral's name for it is "partial 16S ribosomal RNA". It matches the Rfam family "Bacterial small subunit ribosomal RNA", at positions 28 to 507 of the family's 1533-position model. The record is from RNAcentral.
GACGAACGCUGGCGGCGUGCCUAAUACAUGCAAGUCGAGCGAAGUUUUUCUGGUGCUUGCACUAGAAAAACUUAGCGGCGAACGGGUGAGUAACACGUAAAGAACCUGCCUCAUAGACUGGGACAACUAUUGGAAACGAUAGCUAAUACCGGAUAACAGUAUUUCUCGCAUGAGAGAUAUUUAAAAGUUGGUUAUGCUAACACUAUGAGAUGGCUUUGCGGUGCAUUAGCUAGUUGGUGGGGUAAAGGCCCACCAAGGCGACGAUGCAUAGCCGACCUGAGAGGGUGAUCGGCCACACUGGGACUGAGACACGGCCCAGACUCCUACGGGAGGCAGCAGUAGGGAAUCUUCCGCAAUGGGCGAAAGCCUGACGGAGCAACGCCGCGUGAGUGAAGAAGGAUUUCGGUUCGUAAAGCUCUGUUGUUAGGGAAGAAUGGAUAUGUAGUAACUAGACAUGUAAGAGGCGGUACCUAACCAGAAAGCCACGGCUAACUACGUG